Molecule: ribosomal RNA, 802 nt
Filed under: Salmonella enterica subsp. enterica serovar Javiana
Lineage: Bacteria; Pseudomonadati; Pseudomonadota; Gammaproteobacteria; Enterobacterales; Enterobacteriaceae
Description: partial 23S ribosomal RNA
Rfam family: Bacterial large subunit ribosomal RNA
Source: RNAcentral
GGGACACGUGGUAUCCUGUCUGAAUAUGGGGGGACCAUCCUCCAAGGCUAAAUACUCCUGACUGACCGAUAGUGAACCAGUACCGUGAGGGAAAGGCGAAAAGAACCCCGGCGAGGGGAGUGAAAAAGAACCUGAAACCGUGUACGUACAAGCAGUGGGAGCACCCUUUGGGGUGUGACUGCGUACCUUUUGUAUAAUGGGUCAGCGACUUAUAUUCUGUAGCAAGGUUAACCGAAUAGGGGAGCCGGAGGGAAACCGAGUCUUAAUUGGGCGUUAAGUUGCAGGGUAUAGACCCGAAACCCGGUGAUCUAGCCAUGGGCAGGUUGAAGGUUGGGUAACACUAACUGGAGGACCGAACCGACUAAUGUUGAAAAAUUAGCGGAUGACCUGUGGCUGGGGGUGAAAGGCCAAUCAAACCGGGAGAUAGCUGGUUCUCCCCGAAAGCUAUUUAGGUAGCGCCUCGUGAAUUCAUCUCCGGGGGUAGAGCACUGUUUCGGCUAGGGGGCCAUCCCGGCUUACCAACCCGAUGCAAACUGCGAAUACCGGAGAAUGUUAUCACGGGAGACACACGGCGGGUGCUAACGUCCGUCGUGAAGAGGGAAACAACCCAGACCGCCAGCUAAGGUCCCAAAGUCAUGGUUAAGUGGGAAACGAUGUGGGAAGGCCCAGACAGCCAGGAUGUUGGCUUAGAAGCAGCCAUCAUUUAAAGAAAGCGUAAUAGCUCACUGGUCGAGUCGGCCUGCGCGGAAGAUGUAACGGGGCUAAACCAUGCACCGAAGCUGCGGCAGCGACACUCAGGUGU